GUACCACAUAUUUUAAAAUGUAUGCGAAACAAUCUUUUGAAAAAUACAUACUUUCAGUUUCCUGAAGGAAGGGUAGAAUUACAGCAUUUUAAAGCAGUUGUUGAUGAAGAUUCCAAAUUACCAAAGGGAUUAAAGGCAUGUCCCAAA
Long non-coding RNA from Centruroides sculpturatus (bark scorpion), 147 nucleotides. RefSeq lists it as uncharacterized. The transcript has 2 exons. The record is from RefSeq and is a predicted model, not a curated record. NCBI's taxonomy places the organism in Eukaryota, Metazoa, Arthropoda, Arachnida, Scorpiones, Buthidae.